UAGGGAAUCUUCCACAAUGGGCGCAAGCCUGAUGGAGCAACACCGCGUGAGUGAAGAAGGGUUUCGGCUCGUAAAGCUCUGUUGUUAAAGAAGAACACGUAUGAGAUUAACUGUUCAUACGUUGACGGUAUUUAACCAGAAAGUCACGGCUAACUACGUGCCAGCAGCCGCGGUAAUACGUAGGUGGCAAGCGUUAUCCGGAUUUAUUGGGCGUAAAGAGAGUGCAGGCGGUUUUCUAAGUCUGAUGUGAAAGCCUUCGGCUUAACCGGAGAAGUGCAUCGGAAACUGGAUAACUUGAGUGCAGAAGAGGGUAGUGGAACUCCAUGUGUAGCGGUGGAAUGCGUAGAUAUAUGGAAGAACACCAGUGGCGAAGGCGGCUACCUGGUCUGCAACUGACGCUGAGACUCGAAAGCAUGGGUAGCGAACAGGAUUAGAUACCCUGGUAGUCCAUGCCGUAAACGAUGAGUGCUAGGUGUUGGAGGGUUUCCGCCCUUCAGUGCCGGAGCUAACGCAUUAAGCACUCCGCCUGGGGAGUACGGCCGCAAGGUUG
RNAcentral lists this ribosomal RNA (550 nucleotides) under uncultured bacterium. Its description in RNAcentral is "bacterial SSU rRNA". It matches the Rfam family "Bacterial small subunit ribosomal RNA", at positions 355 to 896 of the family's 1533-position model. The record is from RNAcentral.